AAUCCACGGGUCCGUUUCAGGCCGUUAGUUGAAAACGGGCCGUUACGGGGCCGUGAACGGCCUGUAUACAGGAUGUAGCCCACCCACGUCCUGUAUACAGGCCGUUCUCACAGGCUGUAAACAGGACGUUAGCCCACGUCCUGUUUACAGCCCGUGGAUACGGGCCUGUAUUAGGGCGUAGCACCCACGUCCUGUAUACAGGCUGUUGACAGCUGUAGCUUAUGCGCAUGCGCUAGCUUGGGGCAGGAUGACGUCACCUGACUACAAAAAGAAUGAGACAGACAGAGCUCUGAGAAAAAAUCCUGCUGCUUGUCACAAGAGGAGCUGCUGGUCCAAAAAGACAACUUGAAGAGGACUAUACAGUCCAUUACUAUUAGUCUACCUGUGAACAGAAAAAGGUUUGCACGUUGUUAUGGACUUUUGAAGCUGGAACACUGGCCAAUUUUACAAGGCUCCCAUCUGAAGUUUUUUCACUUUUGAUAAAGAGGUGUUGAAGAAUGCUCCCAGAUAAUGCUGCCGAGUUGAAGUCUGGACUAAUUACACACUAGAUGUUGUCAGAAGAAUGAACUAAAGAUAAAGCAACAGUUUCCUGUUGCGAGAUAUCUUCGAGAUGAAAAAGAGCCCUUGUAAUGUGUACAGCACACUGUAAGCUGUUGACUGACUUCAUAGUACGCCGGUAAGAUUAUUCACAGUGGUGUGUUCUUCUUUUAAUCUUCUAACUCUUCUUCAGAUGUUGCAAAACUCAAGGUUUGUUUAUUGUUUUCAUCUUUAGCACUCGUUACACAUGUUAUUUAAUAGAUUUCUUUAUUGGCAUGCCGAGUUGGAGUCUGGAUGUGUUAGAUUGAAGUUUUUAGACGAAUGAUAAAGAGAAUGCAACAAUUGCCUGUGUACAGCUGGCGAGCUAUCUCGGAGAGGAAGAACGGCCCUUCAAGCUGUUCACUGACUUCAUAGUACGCCGGUAAGCAGUGGUGUAUUUUUUGUAUAAUUCCCAGCCUCUUCUCCUCAGAGUCUAUCUUUGUGCACAAAAACAAGACGAAUAUAAAUACAUGCCACCGUGGGGAUGUGAAGACACGGACAUGAUAAUGAGAGACAUAAUGUAGCUGAACAGAAAUUAAUAUAUAUAUAUAUAUCUUGUUCUUGUCUUCUUUGUCUUUGAA
Long non-coding RNA from Halichondria panicea, 1157 nucleotides. RefSeq lists it as uncharacterized. NCBI's taxonomy places the organism in Eukaryota, Metazoa, Porifera, Demospongiae, Suberitida, Halichondriidae. The record is from RefSeq and is a predicted model, not a curated record. The transcript has 9 exons.